Long non-coding RNA from Anolis carolinensis (green anole), 1069 nucleotides. RefSeq lists it as uncharacterized. Lineage: Eukaryota; Metazoa; Chordata; Lepidosauria; Squamata; Anolidae. The transcript has 3 exons. The record is from RefSeq and is a predicted model, not a curated record.
CUGGGCUGGAAAUUGAGACGGCUUCCUAUUUGAAUGUGAUCCUGAUUACCUCAGCAGGGCCACCUGCUGCUUAGUGGCUGCUCCUUUUUUGUGUGUCAGCAGCCUCCAUUUGUAGUGUCUCCGGGGAGCACAACCUUGAGGGCAGGCCCAGCUGACACCAAUCUGGUGGAACACUGGUGGAACAAUCAGUCUAUCCCUUUCAAAAUAGGCUGCUUGUGAUCGAAUCCAGCGAUUCCAGCAUUGCUGCCACUCUUCAUAGCAGUGGAAGAAGAUUUUAUUCAAAGCCCUCAUCACAACUGCCUGGAUGUCUUCAACUGUCCUAAAAUGAUGCCCUUUAAGGUGGAUGCUGGGACAAAUAAUUACAUUUCUUGAUCUUUUCAUUACCAUUGCUUUCAUUUGCACUCUGGUGUCUUACCUUUUAACUUGACGUGGGGUUUUUUUUGUGUCUUUUUUCCUCUUUUCUUUACAAUUGGCAAGAAAAAUAAAUCACAAACAUAUAGUCCAUAAGCAAAAUCCAAAAAUUGGGUUGGGAUCCUUUUGAUUUUGACUUCCCCCCCCCCCUCCCAAUUUUAGUACUCUUUGCAAAAAAAGUUUCUGCAAUAUUUCUGCAGAUUAAAUAAAUCAUUACUUUUUGUUGGAAAAAGUUGUAUUUAUGGAAAUGUAUUUUUGCCAACAAAAUUUUGUGGAUUUUGUGAAAACAACAUUUUGUCUCCCAAGUCCCAAAACUUUUUUUAAUUAAAGAACUAAUCUCAUGAGGGCAGAAAUGAGACAUUCAAAGUUUUCAUUCUCAUCCUUUAGACAUCACUCAGCCUCUUCUUAAUGAAUUUGAAUAUGAAUUAAGAUGCAUGUCCCCUGUAGUGAACAAAUGUAUCCUUCCACAAUGAAAUUUCAUAAAUCAGAAUUUCAAAAUAAACCGGUGUUCACUUUCAAUGAUCAAUCACAAAACAAAGCAUUCUAAGCAUAAAAUACAUUGAUGAGGACAAAUAUGUGCUUUUAUAAGCAGAUGCCUCUAUCUACCGAAGGAAGCCUCUGCUUAUUGAAUGUACUUAGCAACCAGGUUUAUGAACUU